CACUGGUUUACAGCCGGCCUGGGCACUGCCUUUUACGUUAUAUUCGUGUGCCUGCCAAGUGAGGCACAUAUCCAGUUUUGGUAAAUGAAGGCUUGUUUUCUUUACGAUUUAUUCAUUCAUCAAAUAUUUAUGGAGCUUGUCCUGGGUGGCAGUGUUCUACCAAGUGUUAGGGACAGCAAUGAAGCAGUUAUUUGCGGUCCUCAACUCUGGGAACUAACUCUUUUGUAUGAGACAGAGAGAAGACGACCAAACACAUGGGAAAGGGUGCCCUGAGAGGAGUUACCAGGAGGUGCUUAAAACAAUGUUGCUGGCUGGCUUUCGCUUAGCCAUUCGUUCCUUCAUGCAACAAACAAUUUGUUUGCUCUAGGACCCACCAAUAACCUAAGGAAAGAACCUCUAGCUUGAAGGGCUUACCUUUGUGCAGAGGGUGCAGGCCCUAUAGCAGUGGUUCUCAACUGUGGGUUGGGACACCCUACCCCCACCCGUCGAGCCUAACAACUCUUUCACAGGGGCCACCUAAGGCCUCUGGAAAACACAGAUAUUUACAUUAUGAUUCAGAGCAGUAGCAAAAGUAACGGUCAUGAUGAAGUAGUAAUAAAAAUACUUGUGUGGCUGAGGUGACCACAGCAUGAAGAACUGUAUUGACGGGACGCAGCGUCAGGAGGGUAGAGAACCACUGCCAUAUAAGACGGAAGCACAAGGCACAGUGUGAGGGUGAACCGAACGCCGAAGAGGCCCUGAGCGUCCUGAUGGUCGGGGAUUCACUCCAACUACAGAAAUGGGAUAUUUGAGUAAGAUGCGGGGAUGACUGUGCUCAAGUCCUGCAGGGAUAAAGAAGUCCCAAACUGUCAUUCUGGCUCCAAAGAGGCUUGUAGCUGGCUGCCUCAUCAUGCUCGCUCCAAGGACAUUGCCUUAUUUCCCUGCCGAACCACACUGGAAGGAACAGAAGACCCAAGGCCUAAAUAGAAGCAGAUGUAAGAACUCACAAAGCUAGGCAAGUCCUGUCUCCUUUACUUUUUUGUAAUCAAACGGGGUCCAUAAAUUUUUGUUAAAAAUAAAUUUGGAGUCACUUUGUUGGUCCCCCUCCUUCAUUCACUCCUUCCCUCCUUCCCUGCCCCCUCUCUACUUCUCUCCUUCUCUCCCUUUCCUCACUCUCCAUUUCUUUCCUCCUCCAUUCCAUCCAUCUCUCUCUGAAAACAAGCAAUGUCUCCUCAUGACCACACAGCAUCCUUAAUAUCAGGCAGCCGGAGCGACUAUACUCAAAGAGUGGUUUAUCUCCGAUAGGUGAAGGGAUGGGGCUCGUGACUCCUUUCUCCAAAUAUUAACAGCUAAUCAUGCAGCCAGCCAUAGCCACAUGCUUGCUGACACCAGUAAUUGUCUGCUUGUAGGAAUCAGUGCCUGAGGGAAGCCAGAAGGACACAGCUGAGCUUCUCUGAACGAGCCAUGUAGGCUACAGGGUGACACAUGGGGCCUGGUAGCUGGAAGCUGUGAGGGGAGAGAUUCCACCGACUUCUACUGCUAGUUACUGGUCCUGGGCGAGAUCUCCUUGGCCUCUUUGGGAAUUUUAUAUGUUCUCUCUCUCUCUCUCUCUCUCUCUCUCUCUCUCUCUCUCUCUCUCUGUGUGUGUGUGUGUGUGUGUGUGUGUGUGUGUGUGUUUGUUUGAGUGAAUUGAGUGACUGAGAAUUUUGUGUCUGGGUUAAUUUAAUUUCAGAGCUAAAGCAGUCACAGGUAAUGGCUCCCCAAACAUUAUGAAAUGUAUUUAUCUGAUUUGGGGAAAAUCAUUCUCUCCAGUCAUAUUGGAAAUAGGAUCCAAGGCUUGCUAGGGAGAAUAAUGAACUCCCAAAUAUAUCCACCUCUUCAUUUGUAAAUUUGGGAAUAUGUGAUAUUGAAUAGCAACAGGGGCUCUGAUGUUGAUUACUGAUUAGCCUCAUGGGUCUUGCUGCUAGAGAUGGGAGAUUCUCUCGGAUUAUCCAGGUAGUUUCCUCUGUGGAGAAAUAUUCCUAGCUUCAUUCAAACAGAAUAUAUUAAUAACAGAAGGCCAAAAAAAUGUCUUCACAUUGCUGGUUUAAGCGAUGGAGGGAGGGGCUUCAGCCCAAAAGAUGCAGGCAACGGUAGACUCUAGCAAAAGGAAGGGAGCAGUUUUCUCUGUCGAAACUGAAAGGGAAUAGCACACCCUUGGAUCUCAGGCUCUGGCCUGUGUAAGUCCACUUCUGCCCCCGGAAGCACAGCCACAUUAACUGUGCACACUGCAGGUCCAGGGAGGGCAGAGUAGUGGCGCACACCUUUAGUCCCAGCACUUAGGGGACAGGGACAGGUAGGUUUCUGUGAGUUCGAGGCCACCCUGGUCAGAGUGAAUUCCAGGAUAGCUAGGGCAACACAGGAAAACCCUGUUUCCAAAAAACCAAACCAACUAACCAAACAAAUAAGUGUACACUUUGGUUCUUUUUUUUUUUUUUUUUUUCGGAGCUGGGGACCGAACCCAGGGCCUUGCGCUUCCUAGGCAAGCCCUCUACCACUGAGCUAAAUCCCCAACCCCAUGUGUACACUUUGAAGCCAACAUUUGUGGCAUUCUGUCGCAACAGCGAUGCUGAAAUUAAUGCCCGUGACUUUUAGUUGUUUUUGGCACAAAACAAACAAACAAACAAACAAACAAAACAAAACAAAACAAAACCAAAAAAAAAAAAAAAACCACUCUGAAAUGCUUCACCGCUAUUUAUCAGUGAUACAAUGCACUUAUAAAACUUUCCUGAAUGAUAAUAAUGGACCAUAGGAACCAAUUUUAAAAUUAGGAGUGACGUCAAGCAAAUAAUGAACAAAAGGCCUCCAGGCCCGCAAGGUUCUCCAUCUCACAGCCUAUCAGAUUAAGAGAAAGCUGGCGUAUUAACAUGCUUUUAAAAGUUAAGUAAUUGGGCAACUAAAACACGGGUUUCUAUGCUAAAUAUGCGUGCUUGCUUCCACUAAGAUGCCAUUUGCUGUAGUUUACUGUAGGCUUCGUCCUAGCACAGCACACACUCAGCUUCUUUCUCUUCUUGGUAAUGCAUGUUACAUGCGAGUAACUAAGGGAGUUUAAAGCAAUGUUAUAGCAUGUAAAUAACAAUAAAUCACCUCCCCCUCCUCCAAGCUUCCACUUUCACUCAAAAGUGCUAAUAUUAGCCCAAUACCUCUACUUAAAUUAUGGCCUCCCAUUCAACCAGAGAGUAUACAUUAUUCUUGUGCUCUCUCUUGAAUGCGCUGCCUAAGAAGACGCACCGAGAUAAAUAAACGCAAUAUUUCAGAGGAGGAAAAAAAACGCAGGCGAACAGAAUCCGUUUACAAAUACAGCAAUCAGACACCAGCAUCUGCUAUAACUACUUACUUAUAAGAGGGGGUGGGGAGACUCACUUAAGUAUCCACAAUAAAUUCACUCCGGCAAAUGCACUGAAUUCCUUCCAAGGAAAAGGCUGCACUCACAUCCCAGCAUACAGAUGAGACCUCUUAGACUUGUCAUUCCAUCUAUAACUGGGAACUAGAAUAUUCUUUGGUUUCAUCACCCAUCAGACUGCCUAGCUGGGUUCUCUGUCACUAUGUUUUCUUCUAUUCUCUCUCUCUUUUUCUGCAUAUAUAUAUAUACAUAUACAUAUACACAUAUAUAUGUGUGUAUAUAUACAUAUAUGCACACACAUAAUGUGCAUAUAUUCAUAAUAUUCAUAAUAUAUCUUCAUAAUAUAUGCAUAUGUCUAUAAUAUAUGCACACAUAUAUUAAAUAGGCUUGGGUCAGUUUUAUUUUUCACUGUUUUUGUUAUCAAACUUAAGGUUAACUAAGUCUGCUAUUAGCUUAUAGGUAGUAAUAUUCCACUAAAAAUUAAUUCAUAUGGAAAAUACCAGGUUAGAAGCUGCUUCUUCAUGUUUUUGGAACAUUGGUAACAUGCAGAGUCAGUCACUUUGUGGAAAACUGGUUUGGUAAUGCCUUCCCUGUGGGGACUUGGGAAUACUUUGCAACAGACAAGCUUUUGAAAACUGGCCAGAUGUGGGGCUUCAUCAGAUGGUCAGGAUGCAGAAUGUCCCUUACUGAAGGACAGUUAUCCCUUAUGGAAAAUGCAAUCAUUAGUCAUAGUUUGUGGGGGACUGGUUCCAGGGACUCUCUGGGAGUCCAACAUCUAUGGGUGCCCACUACCUUCAAACACAAUGACAAUGUUUUCCCAAAACCAGUGGGCCUCCUUGCAGAUGCUGGGUGUCCUUGGUGGAUCAUGUGCCAUACCUAAUAUAGAAUGAACAAUACACAAGUAGUUGUAUUAUAUUUUAUGAAGACACAAUGACGAAAGGGCUGCACGUAUUAAAUCACUCUGUGGAGUUUGUAAAGAUGUUUAUAUCUUCCAUAUCUCCAUUUCCUUGGCUGGUUGAAUCCAUGAAUGUGGGGCCCAUAGACAUGUUGCCUGCAGGAACAGAGGCUGACUGUGCCGUACUACCAAGACAUGAGGAACUCAGUAUAAGAAACUUUUUGAGCAAGGGUCUUCAACGUGCAUAGAUGACCUUCUGGGCCAGGACUUUUCUGCCUUAGGUGAGGGGUGGUUUGAAGGACUGACAUGUACACAUCAGGUCAUUUAGAAGGAUAUCUGUUAGAUGCCAGUAACACUUUGCCAUUCAAACACAACAAUAAAACCACCUCUGGAUACAAGGUCUUUGGUGAGGUGGGGAGUGGGCAAUGCC
This is a non-coding RNA of Rattus norvegicus (Norway rat), 4686 nucleotides long. The record is from RefSeq and is a predicted model, not a curated record. NCBI's taxonomy places the organism in Eukaryota, Metazoa, Chordata, Mammalia, Rodentia, Muridae.